GAUGAACGCUGGCGGCGUGCCUAAUACAUGCAAGUCGAGCGAACAGACGAGGAGCUUGCUCCUCUGACGUUAGCGGCGGACGGGUGAGUAACACGUGGAUAACCUACCUAUAAGACUGGGAUAACUUCGGGAAACCGGAGCUAAUACCGGAUAAUAUAUUGAACCGCAUGGUUCAAUAGUGAAAGACGGUUUUGCUGUCACUUAUAGAUGGAUCCGCGCCGCAUUAGCUAGUUGGUAAGGUAACGGCUUACCAAGGCAACGAUGCGUAGCCGACCUGAGAGGGUGAUCGGCCACACUGGAACUGGGACACGGUCCAGACUCCUACGGGAGGCAGCAGUAGGGAAUCUUCCGCAAUGGGCGAAAGCCUGACGGAGCAACGCCGCGUGAGUGAUGAAGGUCUUCGGAUCGUAAAACUCUGUUAUUAGGGAAGAACAAAUGUGUAAGUAACUAUGCACGUCUUGACGGUACCUAACCAGAAAGCCACGGCUAACUACGUG
This 497-nucleotide ribosomal RNA is filed under the name uncultured bacterium. RNAcentral's name for it is "partial 16S ribosomal RNA". It matches the Rfam family "Bacterial small subunit ribosomal RNA", at positions 28 to 507 of the family's 1533-position model. The record is from RNAcentral.